UACGUAGGUGGCAAGCGUUGUCCGGAAUUACUGGGCGUAAAGGGCGUGUAGGCGGGAAGGCAAGUCAGAAGUGAAAUCCCAGGGCUUAACUCUGGAGCUGCUUCUGAAACUGUUUUUCUUGAGUGUCGGAGAGGUAAGUGGAAUUCCCAGUGUAGCGGUGAAAUGCGUAGAGAUUGGGAGGAACACCAGUGGCGAAGGCGACUUACUGGACGAUAACUGACGCUGAGGCGCGAAAGCGUGGGGAGCAAACAGGAUUAGAUACCCUGGUAGUCCACGCUGUAAACGAUGGAUACUAGGUGUGGGGGGUAUCGACCCCCCCCGUGCCGCAGUUAACACAAUAAGUAUCCCGCCUGGGGAGUACGGCCGCAAGGUUG
This 374-nucleotide ribosomal RNA is filed under the name uncultured prokaryote. Its description in RNAcentral is "bacterial SSU rRNA". It matches the Rfam family "Bacterial small subunit ribosomal RNA", at positions 524 to 896 of the family's 1533-position model. The record is from RNAcentral.